RNAcentral lists this long non-coding RNA (216 nucleotides) under Bos taurus (domestic cattle). RNAcentral's name for it is "long non-coding RNA NONBTAT020558". The record is from RNAcentral. Lineage: Eukaryota; Metazoa; Chordata; Mammalia; Artiodactyla; Bovidae.
CUCCCCCAUCUCUCACUCACAGCUUUUCAAAUGCAAUCAGCACACUGUUUAUCUUGAUUCGCAGCUUGUCUGUUUCUAGUCCAAAUAUGAUUUAAGUGAUAUAAUUCACUCUACAUUUGACUCGUUUCUUUUUAGCAUGAAGGGGAGGUAGGAACAUGUGCCUGCUUUCUCAAUCAUAGUCACAUUACACAGAAGGAUUUCCAGCUGUACAGGCCA